RNAcentral lists this ribosomal RNA (253 nucleotides) under uncultured bacterium. RNAcentral describes it as "partial 16S ribosomal RNA". It matches the Rfam family "Bacterial small subunit ribosomal RNA", at positions 524 to 776 of the family's 1533-position model. The record is from RNAcentral.
UACGUAGGGGGCGAGCGUUGUCCGGAAUCAUUGGGCGUAAAGCGCAGGUAGGAGGUUUGGUAAGUCUGUUGUGAAAGCUCCCGGCUUAACUGGGAGAGGUCAACGGAAACUACUAGGCUAGAGUGCGGUAGAGGUAGCUGGAAUUCCCGGUGUAGCGGUGAAAUGCGUAGAUAUCGGGAGGAAUACCUAUGGCGAAAGCAGGCUACUGGACCGUCACUGACUCUGAUCUGCGAAAGCUAGGGGAGCAAACAGG